GAUGAACGCUGGCGGCGUGCCUAAUACAUGCAAGUCGAGCGAACGGACGAGAAGCUUUCUUCUCUGAUGUUAGCGGCGGACGGGGUAGUAACACGUGGAUAAACUACCUAUAAGACUGGGGUAACUUCGGGAAACCGGAGCUAAGGCCGGAUAAUAUUUUGAACCGCAUGGUUCAAAAGUUGAAGACUGUCUUGCUGUCACUUAUAGAUGGAUCCGCGCUGCAUUAGCUAGUUGGUAAGGUAACGGCUUACCAAGGCAACGAUGCAUAGCCGACCUGAGAGGGUGAUCGGCCACACUGGAACUGAGACACGGUCCAGACUCCUACGGGAGGCAGCAGUAGGGAAUCUUCCGCAAUGGGCGAAAGCCUGACGGAGCAACGCCGCGUGAGUGAUGAAGGUCUUCGGAUCGUAAAACUCUGUUAUUAGGGAAGAACAUAUGUGUAAGUAACUGUGCACAUCUUGACGGUACCUAAUCAGAAAGCCACGGCUAACUACGUG
This 497-nucleotide ribosomal RNA is filed under the name uncultured bacterium. Its description in RNAcentral is "partial 16S ribosomal RNA". It matches the Rfam family "Bacterial small subunit ribosomal RNA", at positions 28 to 507 of the family's 1533-position model. The record is from RNAcentral.